Molecule: ribosomal RNA, 429 nt
Filed under: Gemmatimonadota bacterium
Lineage: Bacteria; Pseudomonadati; Gemmatimonadota
Description: Gemmatimonadetes bacterium partial 16S ribosomal RNA
Rfam family: Bacterial small subunit ribosomal RNA
Source: RNAcentral
UAGGGAAUCUUCGGCAAUGGACGAAAGUCUGACCGAGCAACGCCGCGUGAGUGAAGAAGGUUUUCGGAUCGUAAAACUCUGUUGUUAGAGAAGAACAAGGACGUUAGUAACUGAACGUCCCCUGACGGUAUCUAACCAGAAAGCCACGGCUAACUACGUGCCAGCAGCCGCGGUAAUACGUAGGUGGCAAGCGUUGUCCGGAUUUAUUGGGCGUAAAGCGAGCGCAGGCGGUUUCUUAAGUCUUUUGUGAAAGCCCCCGGCUCAACCGGUGAGGGUCCUUAGAAACUGCGAGACUUGCGUGCAGAAGAGGAGAGUUGAAUUCCAUGUGUAGCGGUGAAUUGCGUCGAUAUAUGGUGGAACACCAGUGGCGAAGGCGGCUCUCUGGUCUGUAACUGACGCUGAGGCUCGAAAGCGUGGGGAGCAAACAGG